GGGCCGGUUUCAGAUUCGAUUGCGGACGGAGAAUGAGAAAAGCAUACCAAAGGCUCGGCUUUGUAAAAACGGAAACUUAAAUUUAAAUGCAGAAUCCAAAGAUUCUAAAGUCGUUUCCUUCCCCUCUUUCAGAGCGGCAGGCAUGGCUUGCGCUGCUUAACUUAUAAGCGGUCCGUCGCCCCUUUUUCACCGUUGGAAAGCGUGCGGCGUUAAUUAAACGGUAAACUCUUAACGCGCUUUACCACGCGCGGUAAGUUUUAUUUAGCGGUAUGCGCCUUUUAAUCCCCGUCCGUCGGGAUUGAAGGGUUAAGCUUAAAGGCGGAAUAAGUAUGUAGAAAGCUCAGACGAAUUCCGUAAGACUCGGGUGCAAGUCCCGACCGGUCCACCA
This 388-nucleotide transfer-messenger RNA is filed under the name Clostridia bacterium. It matches the Rfam family "transfer-messenger RNA". Rfam says of the family: Bacterial tmRNA, also known as 10Sa RNA or SsrA, is named for its dual tRNA and mRNA-like properties. Its role is to liberate the mRNA from a stalled ribosome. To accomplish this part of the tmRNA is used as a reading frame that ends in a translation stop signal. Lineage: Bacteria; Bacillati; Bacillota; Clostridia. The record is from RNAcentral.